This 267-nucleotide long non-coding RNA is filed under the name Elaeis guineensis (African oil palm). RNAcentral describes it as "long non-coding RNA (EGUI_LNC008818)". Lineage: Eukaryota; Viridiplantae; Streptophyta; Magnoliopsida; Arecales; Arecaceae. The record is from RNAcentral.
CUCCAGUGCGGAGCUUCAUGCUACCUGGGCAGAGUCACCUUUGUCAGGCAGUAGCUUCAUACGGAGCGGAUCUUCCUUGAAGGUGACUUUGCCCCUAUUAUUGUCUAGCUUCUAGGGGGUGUUAGGCAGCUCAGAGGCUAUCCUAUUAUCCGAGAUGUAUGAACCUCUUUUCGUCAUGCUACUGUAGUCAGAGUCCAGCAUAUUUAUUGGAAGACUAAUACUGCAGCAGAUUGGAUAGCAGCUUUUGUUGCUGACCACUCUGGCGAC